GACGAACGCUGGCGGCGUGCUUAACACAUGCAAGUCGAACGGAAAGGCCCUGCUUUUGUGGGGUGCUCGAGUGGCGAACGGGUGAGUAACACGUGAGUAACCUGCCCUUGACUUUGGGAUAACUUCAGGAAACUGGGGCUAAUACCGGAUAGGAGCUCCUGCUGCAUGGUGGGGGUUGGAAAGUUUCGGCGGUUGGGGGUGGACUCGCGGCUUAUCAGCUUGUUGGUGGGGUAGUGGCUUACCAAGGCUUUGACGGGUAGCCGGCCUGAGAGGGUGACCGGCCACAUUGGGACUGAGAUACGGCCCAGACUCCUACGGGAGGCAGCAGUGGGGAAUAUUGCACAAUGGGCGGAAGCCUGAUGCAGCAACGCCGCGUGCGGGAUGACGGCCUUCGGGUUGUAAACCGCUUUCGCCUGUGACGAAGCGUGAGUGACGGUAAUGGGUAAAGAAGCACCGGCUAACUACGUGCCAGCAGCCGCGGUGAUACGUAGGGUGCGAGCGUUGUCCGGAUUUAUUGGGCGUAAAGGGCUCGUAGGUGGUUGAUCGCGUCGGAAGUGUAAUCUUGGGGCUUAACCCUGAGCGUGCUUUCGAUACGGGUUGACUUGAGGAAGGUAGGGGAGAAUGGAAUUCCUGGUGGAGCGGUGGAAUGCGCAGAUAUCAGGAGGAACACCAGUGGCGAAGGCGGUUCUCUGGGCCUUUCCUGACGCUGAGGAGCGGAAGCGUGGGGAGCGAACAGGCUUAGAUACCCUGGUAGUCCACGCUGUAAACGGUGGGUACUAGGUGUGGGGUCCAUUCCACGGGUUCCGUGCCGUAGCUAACGCUUUAAGUACCCCGCCUGGGGAGUACGGCCGCAGGGCUAAAACUCAAAGGAAUUGACGGGGCCCCGCACAAGCGGCGGAGCAUGCGGAUUAAUUCGAUGCAACGCGUAGAACCUUACCUGGGUUUGACAUGGAUCGGGAGUGCUCAGAGAUGGGUGUGCCUCUUUUGGGGUCGGUUCACAGGUGGUGCAUGGCUGUCGUCAGCUCGUGUCGUGAGAUGUUGGGUUAAGUCCCGCAACGAGCGCAACCCUUGUUCACUGUUGCCAGCACGUUAUGGUGGGGACUCAGUGGAGACCGCCGGGGUCAACUCGGAGGAAGGUGGGGAUGACGUCAAGUCAUCAUGCCCCUUAUGUCCAGGGCUUCACGCAUGCUACAAUGGCUGGUACAGAGAGUGGCGAGCCUGUGAGGGUGAGCGAAUCUCGGAAAGCCGGUCUCAGUUCGGAUUGGGGUCUGCAACUCGACCUCAUGAAGUCGGAGCCGCUAGUAAUCGCAGAUCAGCAACGCUGCGGUGAAUACGUCCCCGGG
RNAcentral lists this ribosomal RNA (1343 nucleotides) under uncultured bacterium. RNAcentral describes it as "16S ribosomal RNA". It matches the Rfam family "Bacterial small subunit ribosomal RNA", at positions 28 to 1378 of the family's 1533-position model. The record is from RNAcentral.